Molecule: small nuclear RNA, 18 nt
Filed under: Arabidopsis thaliana (thale cress)
Lineage: Eukaryota; Viridiplantae; Streptophyta; Magnoliopsida; Brassicales; Brassicaceae
Description: snRNA_01492
Source: RNAcentral
AACGGGUGAGUAAACCCG